This 847-nucleotide long non-coding RNA is filed under the name Homo sapiens (human). Its description in RNAcentral is "HSALNT0365431". The record is from RNAcentral. Lineage: Eukaryota; Metazoa; Chordata; Mammalia; Primates; Hominidae.
AAUCCUGCCAGGAGUUUCCGUGAGGUUUUUUCAGUGGGAUUAUUUGUGUCCCUGUGGCUCUUCAGGGAGCUUGCAGAAUUCUAGCUAAAGAUAAGAAGGGCAUCGCUUCAAAUGGGAGGCCAAUCAAUGCAGCAUUAGGAAGGCUUCAUUCAGCUCAGCACCACCUUGGUGAAGAUCCCGGUGUUACACAUCCAAUCGUUCACCUCCUUCCAAGACUAUGACAUUCCAGGAAACCUUCACUGCUAAGAGGAACUAAGAUCUAGAGUAUCUCCUCGAGGAAGUACAACUGGUAAUUAAUAAGAAGUCCAGUGGCUCACACCUGCGAUCCCAGCACUUUGGGAGGCUGAGAUGGGCAGAUUGCUCGAGCCCAGGAAUUCAAGACCAACCUGGGCAACAUGGCAAAACCCCAUCUCUACAAAAAUACAAAAAUUAACCAGAUGUGAUGGUUCAUGCCUGUAGUCCCAGCUACUCUGGAGGCUGAUGUGGGAGGAUCGCUUGAGCCUAGGAAGUCAAGGCUGCAGUGAGUCAUGAUUGCUCCGCUCCACUGCACUCUGGCCUUGAUGAUAGAGUGAGAACCAGUCUCAAAAAAAAAAAGGUCAUUUUCUAAGCAUUUGUUGAUUCAAUACUGCCCACUAUGUACACUGACAAUUAGACAUAAUUUAAUUUCAGCUCAUGGUAUGAAUGGAGACAAAAUGAAAUCAUUUUAAUGCACAUUAAGGCAAUAUAGUGCCCUUAAAUAAAAAGUUGAAGUUCAUAAGGGACCAUCAUUAAGAUUUAACUUUGUAACAAAUAUUUUGUUUUUGUUUGUUUUAUUUUUAGAUUUGCAUAAUAAAACAUUCAUAUUCUU